CGGGGUGCAGCAGGCGCGAAAACUUCACAAUGUGCGAAAGCACGAUGAGGGAAUCCCAAGUGCUUGCACGUAAGUGCAAGCUGUUUCUAUGUCUAAAACACAUAGAGAGUAAGGGCUGGGUAAGACGGGUGCCAGCCGCCGCGGUAAUACCCGCAGCCCAAGUGGUGGCCGCUAUUAUUGGGCCUAAAACGUCCGUAGCCGGUUUAAUAAAUGCCUGGGUAAAUUGCAUAGCUUAACUAUACGAAUUCCGGGUAGACUGAUAAACUUGAGACCGGGGGAAGUUAGAGGUACUCCUGGGGUAGAGGUGAAAUUCUGUAAUCCUAGGGGGACCACCGGUGGCGAAGGCGUCUGACUAAAACGGGUCUGACGGUGAGGGACGAAGCCCUGGGGCGCAAACGGGAUUAGAUACCCCGGUAGUCAAGGGUGUAAACGCUGCUUGCUUGAUGUUAGUCGGGCUUCGAGCCCGAUUAGUGUCGGAGAGAAGUUGUUAAGCAAGCUGCCUGGGAAGUACGGCCGCAAGACUGAAACUUAAAGGAAUUGGCGGGGGAGCAC
Molecule: ribosomal RNA, 552 nt
Filed under: uncultured archaeon
Lineage: Archaea
Description: bacterial SSU rRNA
Rfam family: Archaeal small subunit ribosomal RNA
Source: RNAcentral